GAGUUUGAUCCUGGCUCAGGAUGAACGCUGGCGGCGUGCCUAAUACAUGCAAGUCGAACGAAACUUCUUUAUCACAGAGUGCUUGCACUCACCGAUAAAGAGUUGAGUGGCGAACGGGUGAGUAACACGUGGGCAACCUGCCCAAAAGAGGGGGAUAACACUUGGAAACAGGUGCUAAUACCGCAUAACCAUAGUUACCGCAUGGUAACUAUGUAAAAGGUGGCUAUGCUACCGCUUUUGGAUGGGCCCGCGGCGCAUUAGCUAGUUGGUGGGGUAAAGGCUUACCAAGGCAAUGAUGCGUAGCCGAACUGAGAGGUUGAUCGGCCACAUUGGGACUGAGACACGGCCCAAACUCCUACGGGAGGCAGCAGUAGGGAAUCUUCCACAAUGGGCGAAAGCCUGAUGGAGCAACGCCGCGUGGGUGAAGAAGGUCUUCGGAUCGUAAAACCCUGUUGUUAGAGAAGAAAGUGCGUGAGAGUAACUGUUCACGUUUCGACGGUAUCUAACCAGAAAGCCACGGCUAACUACGUGCCAGCAGCCGCGGUAAUACGUAGGUGGCAAGCGUUAUCCGGAUUUAUUGGGCGUAAAGGGAACGCAGGCGGUCUUUUAAGUCUGAUGUGAAAGCCUUCGGCUUAACCGGAGUAGUGCAUUGGAAACUGGGAGACUUGAGUGCAGAAGAGGAGAGUGGAACUCCAUGUGUAGCGGUGAAAUGCGUAGAUAUAUGGAAGAACACCAGUGGCGAAAGCGGCUCUCUGGUCUGUAACUGACGCUGAGGUUCGAAAGCGUGGGGAGCAAACAGG
RNAcentral lists this ribosomal RNA (800 nucleotides) under uncultured bacterium. Its description in RNAcentral is "bacterial SSU rRNA". It matches the Rfam family "Bacterial small subunit ribosomal RNA", at positions 9 to 776 of the family's 1533-position model. The record is from RNAcentral.